GCUAUGAAGAUUACUUCAUUUUCGAACUCCUCUGAACCUUGACCAGACAUCUCUGCAAGCCUUUUCACAGCAACUUCUGUGCCAUCUGGUAAAGUACCCUGGUAAACAGAUGAAUCUCAAGUUAAAAAUCAAAACUAUAACUUCAUUGAUUGACUUCUGGAUACAAUUUAUUCAUACCUUGUAAACAGGGCCAAAUCCACCUUCUCCUAAUUUAGAUGACUCUGAAAAGUUAUCCGUGGCCUGUUGAAUUACACUUAAAGGAAUUAUAGGAAGGUCUCCAUGCAAUGAAUCAUCUCUUUGAACAUGAUCACGGAAAGACAUCGGCGUAACGGUUCUCAACAGCAAACCACCUAAGAAGGAAGAUAGUAAGUCUAAAUAGUGACUUUUUAUCAUAGAUAAUUGUGAAAUGGGCUUAUAGAAUUCUCAACAUUAUGUAACUUGUUAUAUUUACCUUCACUUAAUCCUUUCUUUUUCCAGUAAUAGUAGCCAUAGCAACUUAGUAGAGCUACUGCCACAAGCACACUUACUACGAUGAUGAUCAAAGUUUUG
RNAcentral lists this long non-coding RNA (549 nucleotides) under Medicago truncatula (barrel medic). RNAcentral's name for it is "long non-coding RNA (MTRU_LNC006112)". The record is from RNAcentral. Lineage: Eukaryota; Viridiplantae; Streptophyta; Magnoliopsida; Fabales; Fabaceae.